UCUUGAACCAUACCACCCUGAACGCGCCCGAUCUCGUCUGAUCUCGGAAGCUAAGCAGGGUCGGGCCUGGUUAGUACUUGGAUGGGAGAACCAUAUCAAUCAUAUUAUGAAUAUACAGAUAUUUACAAAAU
RNAcentral lists this ribosomal RNA (131 nucleotides) under Mustela putorius furo (domestic ferret). The record is from RNAcentral. Lineage: Eukaryota; Metazoa; Chordata; Mammalia; Carnivora; Mustelidae.